UCUAUCAUUCACCUUCGUAUGUGAAAUGCAAUUUAUGGUUAUUGACACAUAGUAUUUUUUCCCCUUGUGAAAGUAUUAACAUUCAAGUAUUUCCAGACCAGCACUUGCUUGUUUUAUUUAUAUAACUAAGGACACUUAUAAUUUCGAGGUAAAUCAUGAAGCACAGAUUGUCCAGGUUUUGACAUUCGGACAUCCUCGUGUUGGCAAUGCAAUAUGAUACAUAUAACUAAUGGGAAUGAUAUUGUGUUCCAUAAAAAUUUCACCCGCUGUGUCUACUUUGGGGGUAAAAUUUGUUGAGUAUCUUACAGUGAUUGGCUAUCAGCUAUUCAGCUUUUCUCCAGUUGAGUAAUGGACUGUGGCUUGUAGGUUUCAGAGGAGUAGCUCUACGUGAAAGAGGGGCCUCAUGUUGUUUACUUAUUCCCUUUUCAUUGUGUUGCAUUGAAUAUAUAGCUCUUUAUGUUCAAGAAGAAGGACGUUAGAAAAAUACUGAAAUAUUGUCUUAAUAUGUUGUUCCCUUCAAGUGUUCCUCUACUUGAUUUGUCGAAGUAUCUUGCUAGAGAUAUAAGAAACUUGCUUCGUUGCUUGUCAUUGAAUGAGCUUGUGACUGCAUUUUCAAUCUGAAAUUUAUUUCAACUGGUAAAUGUAGAACUUAGAGUGAGCUUCAAGGCUCAUGAAGCUGUUAACAGUCACUGUUUCAACAAUGGUGGUGGAGUAUGCAUCUGCUGUUCACGUCAGAUUUGCCAAAACUUAAUAGUUGGACUUGUCCUAGAUGUGAUGGAAAGACCAAGCACACAGAAUUGGGUUGAAGAUCUCUACUGGAAACAGCUUGACAUAAACUACCCUGGCAUGCCUCGUGCCAUGGUGAGCUCUAGAGUUGAUUGGCCUCCUGCAAGCUGUGGAUACUUCUUAUUUGGAUUGAUUUACAGUCUUAAUUAAUCUUUGCUUAGGUUCAUCAUGGAUUUUAUUAUGCUUAUCGUGAUACGACAAUUCGACCUGGUAUUUUGGAUGCUGUUAUAAGAGCCAAGGAUUUAUAUGGAGACAUCAACGUCAUGGCAACAGGGAAUUCUAUGGGAAAGGCUAUGGCAUCCUUUUGCAGACUUGAUCUUGUGUUGGACUACAGAGCCAGAUAUGUUGUACACUGGAGCUAAUUCAAAGAUGUCAGAAGUAUGCCUUUUCUCUCAGCUUUAUUGGACAGAGUGGUCCCAGAAAUGGUACCCAAUCCAAAUUCAUGUCCCAUCGAUUCUCAUCUCCAUGACAAGUGGUGAUUUUUGUGAGUUAAACUUUAUCUUGGAGUCUGAUUAUACAAAUGUUCAUGUGGCCUAUGAUAUGAUCAUAGGGUGCAUGAACUUUAGACUAUACCCUUUCUCAAAGUAUUAGUAGCAAGUAUAACAUCUUGUCCUAGUACUUUUAAAUGAUUUAAAAUUUCACUUUUGCUUUCUGGUUUCUUGCUGAAAAUUGUUUCAAGCCAAUUGUGACGUCAUGCCCAUGCAUUGUAGUCCUUUUUGAGAUUUAGUUUCUCCUUUGCUGUUUAUGACGGUAAGUUUUGUAGUUAAAGGGCAUUUUUACCAUGAACCUGGAAUGUUUAUAUUAUAAGCAGGAUGUGAGUCACCCCAUCAACAUCCAAGUGCUUCUUGUGGAAGCAAUUAAUUGCACCUUGGUUGUAAAUUGACUCCCAAUCUCACUAUUCCAUAUUAUUAACACCUUUUUUGGGUGCUAAGGGUGGGUUUGGUUUUGUUGUGUGUGGGUUUUGGUGUUGGGAAAAUUAUGGAUGGGAUCUUAACAGUGUUAACACUAGACCUUCAACCCUCAUGGAGAGAAAGGGCUAUUCUAUUGUUCAUCUUUGUAUGUGAAAUGUAAUAUAUGGUUAUUGAUGCAAAGUGUUUUUGUUCCCCAUCUUGAAAGGACCAUUGGUGUAUUAAUAUUCAAGUUAUUUGGCUGUCUAGUGUGCUGAAGCUGUUUUUCCAGACCAGCGUCUGCUUGAUUUACUUAUAUAACUGAAACACUUCAUUUCCAGGUCAAUCAUGAAGCACUGAAUGUUCAGGUUUUAACAUUUGGACAACUUCAUAUUUGCAAUACCGUGUUUGUGUUUUAAUGCAGUGACUGUGUACCAAAAACAUUACAAAUUAGUACUGGACUUGAUGUUGUGCCUCAUUUGCCUUCGUACUAUUCUCGGUUCCCACAGAAGUACCAUCACUUCCCUAGAUAGGUAUAGCUUUGAUCUUGACAGAAUAUCAAAUAAAUUAUGGGGAAUUGUUGGUGACUGAAUUUGACUUUUGCUUUGCAUUUCUUUCAACCUAUAUAACCAGUGAAGUCUCAUAUAUUCCAACAUUGUAUUCAGCGUAUAAAUUAUAACUGUCUUGUUUGUUUGUCUUCUUAACAAAGCAGGGUAGUUAGUAGGAUUCAUGAUCUUUUGGAAAUAUUUGAGUAACUCUCAUUCCUGCAAAAGCCAUCAUGAGUCUUUCGUACCGAUUCCAAAGUUCAAGGCACGUAUAAUGUUUGCCAUAUAUUUGUGUGUGUGUGUGUGUGAGAUGGGUGAUUACCUAGUCUUAAUCUCUGUGCAAUUAUACACUCUUAAAUUAUGUAAGUACACUAAUGCUUAUAAUUAUUGGUGAUUAGCUCAAAGAUAGCCAUGUAAAAACAUAUUGAUGUGAGAUAAUGUGAAAAUGAUUUGAUUCCACCUGCCUCUCUGGUGACUAAUCGUAUUCAUAACAGUGUUCCCAUGUAAUUGUAAUCUUCCCUUUGUUGUAGGUAUGGCUGUAUAAUAUAGGAUUUGGUAGUUUGGUUUAUCAGGUUGAGAAAGAUUGUGAUACAUCUGGAGAAGAUCCAUCAUACAGCAAGUAAGGAGCUAGUUUCAGUUGUAGCUACUUGGUCAAGCAAUUAUUUUGUGGAUUUAUCAUGCUAGAUGCAAUAAGUCGUGUGAUAGAUCAGCUUGUUUCGGAGAAUAUCCAUAUCUUACCAGGAAUAUUUGUGGACAACUGAUGAGGGCGUGUUUCUGAAGAUUGAUAACUGGAACAACACUGUAGACCAUUUAGUCUUACUAUACUGUGGAAUUAAUGGUUGAGACAUGGGGAUCAUGCAAAAUUGUCAUGGACCCACUAUUGACAGAAUAUGGAGGUGAAAAUGUCGAGGAAAUCUUAUGCUUUCCAGGAAUCCUUCUUCUGCAUUGAGGCUACAUUCAGAAUCAGGGACCUCUGUGAUGAAGUUUGGCCACGAAAUUCAUUCCAUUGAUUUGUUGUCCAUAUUCAUCAGAAGAUGCAUAGGAGCUCUACUCAAAUUCACUCUGCAUGUAAAUAGCACAAAGUUGAAUAUAUCAUCCUUGUAACUACAACUCUGUGAUUUCAAUUGAAUGAAUGUGUGCGCAUGUUUGCCUGUC
RNA transcript from Eucalyptus grandis, 3373 nucleotides. It is a transcript of the gene named lipase-like, with no coding region annotated. The transcript is spliced from 4 exons. The record is from RefSeq and is a predicted model, not a curated record. Lineage: Eukaryota; Viridiplantae; Streptophyta; Magnoliopsida; Myrtales; Myrtaceae.